Molecule: ribosomal RNA, 233 nt
Filed under: uncultured bacterium
Lineage: Bacteria
Description: partial 16S ribosomal RNA
Rfam family: Bacterial small subunit ribosomal RNA
Source: RNAcentral
GUGCGUAACGCGUAUGCAACCUACCUUAUACUGGGGAAUAGCCCGAAGAAAUUCGGAUUAAUGCCCCAUAGUACUGAGAUUUCUCCUGAGAUUUUAGUUAAAGCUUCGGCGGUAUAAGAUGGGCAUGCGUCCUAUUAGCUAGUUGGUAAGGUAACGGCUUACCAAGGCAACGAUAGGUAGGGGGCCUGAGAGGGUGAUCCCCCACACUGGUACUGAGACACGGACCAGACUCC